GGAGAGGUGUCUGAGCUGGUUGAAGGAGCACGCCUGGAAAGCGUGUAUACGUAUAUAAACGUAUCGAGGGUUCGAAUCCCUCCCUCUCCGCCA
RNAcentral lists this transfer RNA (93 nucleotides) under Pseudoramibacter sp. Its description in RNAcentral is "tRNA-Ser". It matches the Rfam family "tRNA". From Rfam's summary of the family: Transfer RNA (tRNA) molecules are approximately 80 nucleotides in length. Their secondary structure includes four short double-helical elements and three loops (D, anti-codon, and T loops). Lineage: Bacteria; Bacillati; Bacillota; Clostridia; Eubacteriales; Eubacteriaceae. The record is from RNAcentral. RNAcentral also lists the same sequence under 3 other names.